GAUCCUGGCUCAGGAUGAACGCUAGCUACAGGCUUAACACAUGCAAGUCGAGGGGCAGCAUGGUCUUAGCUUGCUAAGGCCGAUGGCGACCGGCGCACGGGUGAGUAACGCGUAUCCAACCUGCCUUACACUCUUGGACAGCCUUCUGAAAGGGAGAUUAAUACAAGAUGUUAUCAUGGGUAAGCAUUUUCGCAUGAUUAAAGGUUUACCGGUGUAAGGUGGGGAUGCAUUCCAUUAG
This 238-nucleotide ribosomal RNA is filed under the name uncultured bacterium. RNAcentral describes it as "partial 16S ribosomal RNA". It matches the Rfam family "Bacterial small subunit ribosomal RNA", at positions 15 to 244 of the family's 1533-position model. The record is from RNAcentral.